This 738-nucleotide ribosomal RNA is filed under the name Bacillus pumilus. Its description in RNAcentral is "bacterial SSU rRNA". It matches the Rfam family "Bacterial small subunit ribosomal RNA", at positions 24 to 745 of the family's 1533-position model. The record is from RNAcentral. Lineage: Bacteria; Bacillati; Bacillota; Bacilli; Caryophanales; Bacillaceae.
UCAGGACGAACGCUGGCGGCGUGCCUAAUACAUGCAAGUCGAGCGAACAGAAGGGAGCUUGCUCCCGGAUGUUAGCGGCGGACGGGUGAGUAACACGUGGGUAACCUGCCUGUAAGACUGGGAUAACUCCGGGAAACCGGAGCUAAUACCGGAUAGUUCCUUGAACCGCAUGGUUCAAGGAUGAAAGACGGUUUCGGCUGUCACUUACAGAUGGACCCGCGGCGCAUUAGCUAGUUGGUGGGGUAAUGGCUCACCAAGGCGACGAUGCGUAGCCGACCUGAGAGGGUGAUCGGCCACACUGGGACUGAGACACGGCCCAGACUCCUACGGGAGGCAGCAGUAGGGAAUCUUCCGCAAUGGACGAAAGUCUGACGGAGCAACGCCGCGUGAGUGAUGAAGGUUUUCGGAUCGUAAAGCUCUGUUGUUAGGGAAGAACAAGUGCGAGAGUAACUGCUCGCACCUUGACGGUACCUAACCAGAAAGCCACGGCUAACUACGUGCCAGCAGCCGCGGUAAUACGUAGGUGGCAAGCGUUGUCCGGAAUUAUUGGGCGUAAAGGGCUCGCAGGCGGUUUCUUAAGUCUGAUGUGAAAGCCCCCGGCUCAACCGGGGAGGGUCAUUGGAAACUGGGAAACUUGAGUGCAGAAGAGGAGAGUGGAAUUCCACGUGUAGCGGUGAAAUGCGUAGAGAUGUGGAGGAACACCAGUGGCGAAGGCGACUCUCUGGUCUGUAACUGACG